RNAcentral lists this transfer RNA (29 nucleotides) under Guadua angustifolia. RNAcentral's name for it is "partial tRNA-Cys". The record is from RNAcentral. Lineage: Eukaryota; Viridiplantae; Streptophyta; Magnoliopsida; Poales; Poaceae.
CCCCUGCCUUACCGCUUGGCCCCGCCGCC